CCUACGGGUGGCAGCAGUGGGGAAUAUUGCACAAUGGGGGAAACCCUGAUGCAGCGACGCCGCGUGAGCGAUGAAGUAUUUCGGAAUGUAAAGCUCUAUCAGCAGGGAAGAAAAUGACGGUACCUGACUAAGAGGCCCCGGCUAACUCCGUCCCAGCAGCCGCGGUAAUACGUAGGGGGAAAGCGUUAGCCGGAUUUACUGGGUGUAAAGGGAGCGUAGACGGCGGGGCAAGCCAGAGGUGAAAGCCUGGGGCUCAACCCCGGGACUGCAUUUGGAACUGUGCUGCUGGAGUGUCGGAGAGGCAGGCGGAAUUCCUGGUGUAGCGGUGAAAUGCGUAGAUAUUAGGAGGAACACCAGUGGCGAAGGCGGCCUGCUGGACGAUGACUGACGUUGAGGCUCGAAAGCGUGGGGAGCAAACAGGAUUAGAUACCCCAGUAGUC
RNAcentral lists this ribosomal RNA (440 nucleotides) under uncultured bacterium. RNAcentral's name for it is "partial 16S ribosomal RNA". It matches the Rfam family "Bacterial small subunit ribosomal RNA", at positions 338 to 795 of the family's 1533-position model. The record is from RNAcentral.